ACUAAAAGCUUUGAUUGUUAUCGAGUAAAAGUUUUUUUUUUUUUUUAAGAUAGAUAGCACGCUAUCCGCUUUGUUUAUUUCAUUUGGAAAUAAAUAAACUUAGCUGGAAAUGUAAAUCAACUAGAAUUCGAACUUGGAUCUCGAAUACCAACCACCAAACCUUUUGCCACUUGCUCUAGGGACGGUCGGUGAGUAAAAGUUGAUACAAUCAUAAUAAGAUCGUAUAUAUGUUAUAAAA
Molecule: long non-coding RNA, 238 nt
Filed under: Ananas comosus (pineapple)
Lineage: Eukaryota; Viridiplantae; Streptophyta; Magnoliopsida; Poales; Bromeliaceae
Description: long non-coding RNA (ACOM_LNC024908)
Source: RNAcentral